UACGUAGGUGGCAAGCGUUGUUCGGAAUUAUUGGGCGUAAAGGGCGCGUAGGCGGUCUUGUAAGUCAGCUGUGAAAGCCCGGGGCUCAACCCCGGAGGGUCGGCUGAUACUGCAGGACUGGAGUACGGAAGAGGUAGCUGGAAUUCCCGGUGUAGCGGUGAAAUGCGUAGAUAUCGAGAGGAACACCUGCGGCGAAGGCGGGUUGCUGGGCUGACACUGACGCUGAAGCGCGAAAGCUAGGGGAGCGAACGGG
This 253-nucleotide ribosomal RNA is filed under the name uncultured bacterium. Its description in RNAcentral is "partial 16S ribosomal RNA". It matches the Rfam family "Bacterial small subunit ribosomal RNA", at positions 524 to 776 of the family's 1533-position model. The record is from RNAcentral.